Molecule: ribosomal RNA, 253 nt
Filed under: uncultured bacterium
Lineage: Bacteria
Description: partial 16S ribosomal RNA
Rfam family: Bacterial small subunit ribosomal RNA
Source: RNAcentral
UACGUAGGGACCGAGCGUUGUCCGGAAUCAUUGGGCGUAAAGAGCGUGUAGGCGGCUAUUUAAGUCCUGCGUGAAAUCCUGCGGCUCAACCGCAGACGGUCGUGGGAAACUGGAUGGCUAGAGUGCGGGAGAGGAGAGUGGAAUUCCCGGUGUAGCGGUGAAAUGCGCAGAUAUCGGGAAGAACACCCGUGGCGAAGGCGGCUCUCUGGAACGCAACUGACGCUGAGACGCGAAAGCGUGGGGAGCGAACAGG